RNAcentral lists this transfer RNA (70 nucleotides) under Marmota monax (woodchuck). Its description in RNAcentral is "tRNA.Ala". It matches the Rfam family "tRNA". From Rfam's summary of the family: Transfer RNA (tRNA) molecules are approximately 80 nucleotides in length. Their secondary structure includes four short double-helical elements and three loops (D, anti-codon, and T loops). The record is from RNAcentral. Lineage: Eukaryota; Metazoa; Chordata; Mammalia; Rodentia; Sciuridae.
GAGGUUGUGGCUCAGGGGUAGAGCACUUGCCUUGCACGUGUGAGCCCUGGGUUCUAUUCUCAGCACCACA